UGUUAAAAAUUUCUUUCAUUUGUAUUGUUAAAACUAGCGUGAUUGAUGAAAUAACCAAACAGUAACAAGUGGCGUGCCGGGUGUGCCUUAUGCUGAUGCAUAAAGAUCAAUUUUUAAAAGUAGAAAUGGAUGAAAAUUUUAACA
Gossypium raimondii (Peruvian cotton) is the source of this 144-nucleotide non-coding RNA. The record is from Rfam. Lineage: Eukaryota; Viridiplantae; Streptophyta; Magnoliopsida; Malvales; Malvaceae.